GACGAACGCUGGCGGCGUGCUUAACACAUGCAAGUCGAGCGGUAAGGCCUUUCGGGGUACACGAGCGGCGAACGGGUGAGUAACACGUGGGUGACCUGCCUUUAGCUUCGGGAUAAGCCUGGGAAACCGGGUCUAAUACCGGAUAUGACCUCAUGUCGCAUGGUGUGGGGUGGAAAGUUCUUCGGCUAGAGAUGGGCCCGCGGCCUAUCAGCUUGUUGGUGGGGUGAUGGCCUACCAAGGCGACGACGGGUAGCCGGCCUGAGAGGGCGACCGGCCACACUGGGACUGAGACACGGCCCAGACUCCUACGGGAGGCAGCAGUGGGAAUCUUGCGCAAUGGGCGAAAGCCUGACGCAGCGACGCCGCGUGAGGGAUGACGGCCUCGGUU
This 388-nucleotide ribosomal RNA is filed under the name uncultured bacterium. RNAcentral describes it as "bacterial SSU rRNA". It matches the Rfam family "Bacterial small subunit ribosomal RNA", at positions 28 to 424 of the family's 1533-position model. The record is from RNAcentral.